RNAcentral lists this ribosomal RNA (253 nucleotides) under uncultured bacterium. RNAcentral describes it as "partial 16S ribosomal RNA". It matches the Rfam family "Bacterial small subunit ribosomal RNA", at positions 524 to 776 of the family's 1533-position model. The record is from RNAcentral.
UACGAAGGGGGCUAGCGUUGCUCGGAAUUACUGGGCGCAAAGCGCACGUAGGCGGUCUUUUAAGUCGGGGGUGAAAUCCUGGAGCUCAACUCCAGAACUGCCUUCGAUACUGGAAGACUCGAGUCCGGGAGAGGUGAGUGGAACUGCGAGUGUAGAGGUGAAAUUCGUAGAUAUCGGGAGGAACACCAGUGGCGAAGGCGGCGAUCUGGACCAGCACUGACACUGAGGCACGAAAGCGUGGGGAGCAAACAGG